CCUACGGGAGACAGCAGUGGGGAAUAUUGCACAAUGGGGGAAACCCUGAUGCAGCGACGCCGCGUGAGUGAAGAAGUAUUUCGGUACGUAAAGCUCUAUCAGCAGGGAAGAAAAUGACGGUACCUGACUAAGAAGCCCCGGCUAACUACGUGCCAGCAGCCGCGGUAAUACGUAGGGGGCAAGCGUUAUCCGGAUUUACUGGGUGUAAAGGGAGCGUAGACGGCAGCGCAAGUCUGGAGUGAAAUCCCAUGGCUUAACCAUGGAACUGCUUUGGAAACUGUGCAGCUAGAGUGCAGGAGAGGUAAGCGGAAUUCCUAGGGUAGCGGUGAAAUGCGUAGAUAUUAGGAGGAACACCAGUGGCGAAGGCGGCUUACUGGACUGUAACUGACGUUGAGGCUCGAAAGCGUGGGGAGCAAACAGGAUUAGAUACCCCUGUAGUC
Molecule: ribosomal RNA, 440 nt
Filed under: uncultured bacterium
Lineage: Bacteria
Description: partial 16S ribosomal RNA
Rfam family: Bacterial small subunit ribosomal RNA
Source: RNAcentral